RNAcentral lists this ribosomal RNA (301 nucleotides) under uncultured bacterium. RNAcentral describes it as "partial 16S ribosomal RNA". It matches the Rfam family "Bacterial small subunit ribosomal RNA", at positions 509 to 807 of the family's 1533-position model. The record is from RNAcentral.
CAGUCGCCGCGGGAAUACGAAGGGGGCUAGCGUUGUUCGGAAUUACUGGGCGUAAAGCGCACGUAGGCGGAUACUUAAGUCAGGGGUGAAAUCCCGGGGCUCAACCCCGGAACUGCCUUUGAUACUGGGUAUCUCGAGUCCGGAAGAGGUGAGUGGAAUUCCGAGUGUAGAGGUGAAAUUCGUAGAUAUUCGGAGGAACACCAGUGGCGAAGGCGGCUCACUGGUCCGGUACUGACGCUGAGGUGCGAAAGCGUGGGGAGCAAACAGGAUUAGAUACCCCUGUAGUCCCUGUCUCUUAUAC